Misgurnus anguillicaudatus (oriental weatherfish) is the source of this 2646-nucleotide long non-coding RNA. RefSeq lists it as uncharacterized. The record is from RefSeq and is a predicted model, not a curated record. NCBI's taxonomy places the organism in Eukaryota, Metazoa, Chordata, Actinopteri, Cypriniformes, Cobitidae.
GUUCUUACAGCGCCGCAUGCAGUCAAACAAGCCUAGUAUCAGAUAAGCUACGUUAUGUCACCUUCACGUGCUAUCGUAAAUGUAAAAAAUUCCACUUCUGUUAUUAUUACGAGCUUAUCGUGUUUUCUUGUCAGGAUCUUUGUUGACGCAAAACAUGUAGUUCAUACUUGAGUGUGUCUUGGGAAAAUGUUAUUUAAACACAAUAUACUUAACAACAAGACAACGCAAUGAACUGAAGUCUGAGGCCCGUCCAUCUCGGGAAUUGGGGUAUAAAAAUUAUUUCCGAAAUUCCCAGAGGUAAACAACACCACAUCAGAGAUUUUUACCUGGGAAACUUCUGACAGCACAUUAAGGCAACCAAUUCAGCCUUCAAGGGACAUGUUUGAUUCAAACUAGCACACUUGGAUGACCCCGGUCUCAUUCAUGCCAUUCAAGAACGUGACAUGACUUCCAAGACUGCUCCAGUCGAGGGCUUGUUUAUAGGAAUGAGUCACUGGACAUCAAAACUACAGGCUGUGUAAUCCUGCCAGCUUCCCUUUCCAAUACGGAGCGGAUGCGACCAGGUCCGGUUUCUCCAGUCUGUGUGUCAGAGCCCGGCUGUUGCCGAAUCUGCGCUGGAGCUCAGCGUGGGCUGUGCUGGAGGUGGGCGUGGGUUACAAACCCUGCGUGUGUAGAAGUGGAAGUAUGGAUGUGAGUGGGCGUUGUUCCCAGUGAAAUACAUUGGCUUUUUUAUAUUAUGGUAAGACAAUGCAUUGUGUGUGUCCAGCAUUUUUUUUGCAUUUGCAGAUGCUUGUAACCAAAGUGACUACUGUGCAUUCAAACAAUGCAGGGUUUUUUGGGAAUCGAACCCGGACACUCAACCAAUUGAGCUACAGGAACAAUCCGAGCAAUAUAUGUAAUCCCGUGCACAACUGCGCUUUGAACUCCUACCUACAUCCGAGUAUAAUUUCAGUGUUUAUUUGUAUAUAGACAAGUAAUGCAUUUCACUUUGUGAAUCAGUCUGUGUGGAUCUGCGCCUUUGUUUAUGUUGUAUGACUGAUGUGUGUUUGUACGCUUCUGUUUGAGGGCGUGUCACACCACCACUGACUCACGCCGGUGGUCCUGACUCAUCCCAACAUCACCAGCACCGUAGGCUCGCGUGCCGGACCGCAUAAUCCAACCACACUCGCACAGUCAUCGAGGAGCGAUUUCCCCUUACUUCUCUCCCUCGCUGUUGCUCCGUGUGACUCAUCUUGGUUUCAUUUUGCCACCCUCCUCCACCCAGCAUUCAACUCUCCUCCUUCGCUCCUCUAUCUCUCUUUCUUUUCUCCUUUCUCAUUCCUAUUCUCCCUCUCUUUCCCUUUCCUUCCUGGCUCUGUAAAUGACCUCAUUUUAAUGAAGCCCAGACUUGGCUGGGACACCAAACCGCAUGGCUGGAAGCUCCCUUUCUUUCUCUCUCGUUGGUGCUCUAAUCUACCCUGUACUUCGUAUCUGGCUUUCAUUCCCAGAGCUAACAGAACCGAUCGGGAAGUCUGGGAAUUCUAGAGUAACUCCAAGAAUUCCACAAUAAAUGUUUGAUUGCGUUCCAUAACUUAUGGUAACAAUACCACAUGUAAUAAAACUCCAGCUGCAAGAUGAAGCUCACAUUUGCAUAGGAUAGGCAACGCAACGUGAUCCAAAACAUAAAACAUGCCGAUAAUCUGGGAAUCAAAACUGUACUUUAAAUAAUAUUUUAAAAUGUUUUUCCUUAUGCAAAUUUGCUUUUUAAACUUGCACAUAAAUGGUUCUUGUAAACACGUUUUUCUCAAAAAGUUUUUUUUACUUCCCAAGAAGUGCACACGAGACGGGAGCAAUGUAAAACAUUUGAGAAUGGGAUUACAUGAAUCAUCAGGCUUUGUACAAACUUGAAAGUCCAUGCUGGCUUACGGGCAUGCCGACGAACAUACCACAUAAAUUGUAAAAUAAUUCAAACUUUUUGAAAUGUUAUUUUGAUAAUACACUUAUUUAAUACAAAAAUGAAUCAUUGUCAGUACCCGUGCAUACGAUUUUGGCCUAGACUUUAUGUGCGGUGCAAAAAUCUAUUGGCUCCUGUUUUCACUUAGGCCACCUAUGUGCUAGACACCGCAUAUUUGCAGUGAAAAUAGCUGUAUUUUUGCACAGACAUACUUGAAGCCUCUACGCCCCUAGGUCAUUGCAAAAACAUCCCUUCAAUAAGGCGUGAACAUUUUGUUAUGGUCUCUGACCUCAGCCUUUAUGAGACCGUGAACGCUACCACAUGCUUGCACAACUGUCCUAUGCGGCUACACCACAAACGUUGAAGAUUUGAUGAUGUAUUCUAGAUAAAGCCAGUCGGUUGUUACAUUUGAGUGAAUCUUUAUCUGAGCAAGAGCAAUGAUUUCCUCUUUGACAUUAACUAGGAGAUCUUCUAUUAAAGUUUAAGCUUUGUGUUAAAUAGGCUCAUUAAGUAAACGUAAAAGUUUAGAUUACAUUUUAACUAUUACAGUUUACCAGCUCAAAUCAAACAAAUAUAACACACAUUGUUAAGGACACAAAUAUGCACAAUAUGCAUGUGAUCCAAACCUCUGACUCGGAUUAAAUUCUGUGCAUUUUUCAGUUUCACUUCUAAUGCUGGUGCAAUGCUGAUAGCAAGUGGACAAUUUGUGUCAU